AUACCUGCGCCCCGAGUGGCGGGCACUAUUAUUUGGUCUAAAGCGGCCGUAGCCGGGCGGGUAAGCCCCCGGUUAAAUCCAGCCGCUCAACGGCUGGACUGCCGGGGGGUACUGCCCGCCUUGGGACCGGGAGAGGCGGGGGGUACUACCGGGGUAGGGGUGAAAUCCUUUAAUCCCGGUGGGACCGCCAGUGGCGAAGGCGCCCCGCCAGAACGGGUCCGACGGUGAGGGCCGAAGGCCAGGGGAGCGAACCGGAGUAGAAACCCUUGUAGUCC
RNAcentral lists this ribosomal RNA (275 nucleotides) under uncultured bacterium. RNAcentral's name for it is "partial 16S ribosomal RNA". It matches the Rfam family "Archaeal small subunit ribosomal RNA", at positions 473 to 747 of the family's 1478-position model. The record is from RNAcentral.